RNAcentral lists this unclassified non-coding RNA (3362 nucleotides) under Hevea brasiliensis (rubber tree). The record is from RNAcentral. Lineage: Eukaryota; Viridiplantae; Streptophyta; Magnoliopsida; Malpighiales; Euphorbiaceae.
CGACGUUAUACUCUAGAGCCUUCAUUUAAGUAGUUGAUCUUUUAAAUUUAGACCGGUAAUCGCUCCUACCUGCCCCCAAAUUUCAAAUAAUUUAAUGGACCCACGUAAAACCCUAAUAUUAUACGUCACAGCUUGCAUUAGUUGAUUAUUAUUUUUUAUAAUUACAAGUUAGUUACCACUAAACCCUCGAUGAAACCUUGGAAAUUCCAGUCUCACUAGACAAAACAAUCCAUAGAUUUGACGGAGUUUUCGAUCCGAGACGACCCAAAAUCCAUCGAUAAUUCCCACCUUAAGCUUGCUGCUCAAAACCCAGUUGCUGUAUUGCUACUAAAUCCUGAUCUUUCAACUUUGACGUUACGUUCUUUGAUCUGCAGAAACUUUCACCAGUAAUGGCAGUUUCUAGCGAUUCAAUCCUCAGAUUCCACCAGAAAAUCUUUGCAAAUCACCCAAUUCUUGAAUUAGAGAAUGGUGUUUCUAGAAUAGCUGUGGGUGCUGGUGGGGUUUCUUGCAGUACAAGGAAACUUAGAAGUAAGGCCAGGAUUGGAGCGAAAGCAGUGGCAGAGGCUCGUGUUAAGGGGUUAGAGAGUUUUAAGGUGAAUUUGGACUUGGGAUUGGAUGCUGUGGCCGAGAAGGAGUUGAGAGAAAAAGGGUUCUUAGGGAUGAGGAAGACGAAGUUGGUGUGUACCAUAGGACCGGCGUGUUGCUCAUUGGAGGAUUUGGAGAGAUUGGCUAGAGGAGGGAUGAAUGUGGCUAGGCUUAAUAUGUGUCAUAACACGAAAGAGUGGCACAGAGAUGUUAUUAAGAAGAUCAAGAGGUUAAAUGAGGAAAAGGGGUUUUGUGUUUCAGUGAUGAUUGAUACUGAAGGAAGCCAGAUUCAUGUGGUUGAUCAUGGAGCUCCCUCCUCUCUCAAAGCAGAGGAAGGUUCAGUUUGGGUAUUUACAGCCCAAAAAUUUGAAGGUUCACUUCCAUUUACCAUUCGAGCAAACUAUGAAGGGUUCUCUGAAGGCAUUAUGGUAGGCGAUGAACUGAUUAUUGAUGGAGGAAUGGCAAGCUUUCAAGUUGUUGAAAGGAUGGGAAAUGAUUUGCGUUGUAAGUGCACAGAUCCUGGUCUACUCCUACCCCGAGCCAAAUUGAGCUUCUGGAGGGAUGGGAAGCUCUCCCAUCAAGGUCUCCCAACUAUAUCAGAAAAGGUUGAAUCAUGCUUAUUCUAUUCUGGCAAUAAUUUCCCCUCAUUCUCCUUUCGUAAAUCCAUUUUCUUUGGCUAGAGAAUCCAAAAGUAGGAUAUUUUGGUCUUAAGGAUUACUUUUUCUGUAUCUGCUCUGAUGAGAUUUUUCUUUCUUGUUAUUUCUUUUGCUGGCUUGCCUUGAAAUACAAAUUCAGAAAAUUGGAUGCCUUUAAAUUAGGUUGUUUUAGUAAAAACAUCAAGAGUCAAAAUCCCUAAAAACCAUUAAAAGUCAAUAUCCCCUGCAAAAUAGAAAGCUAUUGUUAACUCUUCUUGUUUCUAGGGAUUUUCUAAGGGAAGAAAGGAAUUGCCUAUUGAUUUAGCUUAUUAGAUUUUAAAUGUAAUGUGCAUUUGGGUUCACUUUGCUCUGUCAUGUGGGGCUGAACCACAGCUUUUGGAGGAUGAAAAUGCAGCUAUCUUCCUAAGCAGUCAUCUACAAGAACUGCUAUUUGGCUCUUUGCCAGGGGUAGAGCCAAAAAAAUUUUCUUGAAGGGGCCAAUGGUGUAUGUAAAAUUAAUUUGAGAAAUGGUUAAUUACACUCAUUGUUUAUAUAUUUUGAUGGGUUCAUGUUAUAUAUUCAAAAAAUGACAUAAUAAAGUGUAGUUAAGUGAGAAAAUUUUAUGUUAAAAAAAAGUUAGAAAUUUUUUUUAAGGGUGCCAAUGCUAUAAAUAGAUAAGCAGGCCAAACAGUCUUAAAUAGGUAAGCAGGAUAGUGUUAGCAGACAAUAUUAAACAUCUGACCAAUUUCUUCCCCUGCACAUAACUCAUAUUUUCCACUUUGCAGGACUGGGCAGACAUUGAUUUUGGAAUUUCUGAAGGUGUUGAUUUUGUUGCUGUGUCAUUUGUUAAUGAUGCCGAGCCUAUCAAGCAUCUGAAGAACCAUCUCUCAACCAAGGCAUCAAGAUCAAUAAGAGUAUUGUCAAAGAUUGAGAGCUUGGAGUCUCUUCGGAAACUGGAAGAGAUUGUAGAGGCUUCUGAUGGAAUUAUGGUGGCUCGUGGUGACCUUGGAGUAGAAGUUCCUCUUGAACAGAUUCCAGCAGUCCAAGAGGAGAUAACCCGUAUUUGCAGGCAGCUGAACAAGCCAGUGAUUAUAGCUUCUCAACUUCUUGAGUCGAUGGUUGAAUAUCCAACCCCAACGCGUGCAGAGGUUGCAGAUGUAUCUGAAGCAGUUAGGCAAUCUGCUGAUGCAAUGAUGUUGUCUGGUGAGUCAGCUAUUGGAUCAUAUGGAGAGAAAGCUCUUUCUGUCUUGCGGAUGGUCAGCAAUCGAAUGGAACUGCAGUGUCAUGAGGAAAACCGUCAAAAUGCUCUCCAUCAGCCUUGUCUUGGGGUUUCAUUGCCUGAUCGUAUAUCUGAAGAGAUAUGCAAUUCUGCUGUAGAAAUGGGUAAUUGACUUUUUUCUUACACCAUUAUAUUAUUUAAUGUUGAUUUUCUGAAAGCAGUUAAUUGGCAUAAUUCCAUAAUUAAUAAAAGUUUCUGCUAGGCGCAUUUAUUCAAUUCCAUAUUAUCUUUUGCACACACAAUGAAAUAAAAUUUUCAAAUGUAUAUUAAACAGUAUAUGAAUCAGUUGAAAACAAUCAUUAGUGCAAUCACAUACACACACAAUGAACGUGUGAUUUGCUGUGCUAGAUCAUUAGUGCAACCUAUAAGAAGAACUGUAAACUUUCAUUAUUUACACUCAAAACCUUGGAAAAGGCAAGGGAAUUAACUGCUAUUGAUCACCAAACAUGCCUAUUGAUAUGCUGCUAACCUUACAUAUUAUACUUGGGUGUUUUAACUGCAGCUAACAACCUUGGUAUAGAUGCUAUCUUUGUCUACACAAAGCAUGGAGAGAUGGCAUCACUCCUUUCUCGCAACCGUCCAAACCCUCCUAUAUUUGCAUUUACAGAUGACAAUGAUGCUCGUAUGGCAUUGAAUUUGCAGUGGGGAGUUAUCCCCAUCCUUGUAGAUUUGUCAGAUGACAUGGAAUCCAACAUAUCCAAAACCACUGAUCUUAUAAAAUCUAAAGGCAUGAUGAAAGAUGGAAGCUCUGUCUUGAUAGUCUCAGAUCUCACUCCAUCUUGUGCAACCCGAACUGCCUUCCAGUCAAUCCAGGUGAAGACCAUUGUGUAGGGAAAUGCUUAUCUGAAAAUGUUCACUUCUCA